UACGUAGGGUCCAAGCGUUGUCCGGAAUUAUUGGGCGUAAAGAGCUCGUAGGUGGCGUGUCGCGUCUGAUGUGAAAGCCCGGGGCUUAACUCCGGGUCUGCAUUAGGUACGGGCAUGCUGGAGUUCGGUAGGGGAGACUGGAAUUCCUGGUGUAGCGGUGAAAUGCGCAGAUAUCAGGAGGAACACCGGUGGCGAAGGCGGGUCUCUGGGCCGAUACUGACACUGAGGAGCGAAAGCGUGGGGAGCGAACAGG
This 253-nucleotide ribosomal RNA is filed under the name uncultured prokaryote. Its description in RNAcentral is "partial 16S ribosomal RNA". It matches the Rfam family "Bacterial small subunit ribosomal RNA", at positions 524 to 776 of the family's 1533-position model. The record is from RNAcentral.